Molecule: ribosomal RNA, 497 nt
Filed under: uncultured bacterium
Lineage: Bacteria
Description: partial 16S ribosomal RNA
Rfam family: Bacterial small subunit ribosomal RNA
Source: RNAcentral
GAUGAACGCUGGCGGCGUGCCUAAUACAUGCAAGUCGAACGGACAGACGAGGUGUUUGUUCCUCUGACGUUAGAGGCGGAUGGGUGAGUAACACGUGGCUCACCUGCCUAUUAGACUGGACUUACUUCGGGAACCCGGAGCUAAUACCGGAUAAUAUAUUGAACCGCAUGGUUCAAUAGUGAAAGGCGGUUUUGCUGCUACUUAUAGAUGGUGAGGCGCCGCAUUAGCUAGUUGGUGAGGUAGUGGUUUACUACGACGACGGUGCGUAGCAGACGUGAGGGCUGGAUCGGUCACCCUGGAACUUAGACAUGGGACAGAGUCCAGAGGCAGGCAGCAGGAGGGAAUCGUGCGCAAUGGGCGAAAGGCUGACGGAUGAACGCGGCGUGAGGGAUGAAGGUUUUCGGAUCUUAAAACGCUGUUAUCAGGGAAGAACAAAUGUGUAAGUAAGUAGGCACGGCUUGAAGGUACCUAAUCAGAAAACCACGGCUAACUUCGUG